RNAcentral lists this non-coding RNA (136 nucleotides) under Burkholderia glumae. RNAcentral's name for it is "TPP sequence". It matches the Rfam family "TPP riboswitch aptamer (THI element)". Rfam says of the family: Vitamin B(1) in its active form thiamin pyrophosphate (TPP) is an essential coenzyme that is synthesised by coupling of pyrimidine and thiazole moieties in bacteria. Lineage: Bacteria; Pseudomonadati; Pseudomonadota; Betaproteobacteria; Burkholderiales; Burkholderiaceae. The record is from RNAcentral.
CAGACGAAACAGGGGUGCUUUGCUGCCUGUCGGCGUCCGGUGAACGAUGCAUCGGGAUGCGCGGCGGCAAGGCUGAGAGAGUCCCUUCGCACCCGAUCCGGGUAAUACCGGCGCGGGAAGUUUUCGAUUCCACCGG